Molecule: ribosomal RNA, 301 nt
Filed under: uncultured bacterium
Lineage: Bacteria
Description: partial 16S ribosomal RNA
Rfam family: Bacterial small subunit ribosomal RNA
Source: RNAcentral
CAGCAGCCGCGGUAAUACGUAGGUGGCAAGCGUUGUCCGGAAUUAUUGGGCGUAAGGGGCUCGCAGGCGGUUUCUUAAGUCUGAUGUGAAAGCCCCCGGCUCAACCGGGGAGGGUCAUUGGAAACUGGGAAACUUGAGUGCAGAAGAGGAGAGUGGAAUUCCACGUGUAGCGGUGAAAUGCGUAGAGAUGUGGAGGAACACCAGUGGCGAAGGCGACUCUCUGGUCUGUAACUGACGCUGAGGAGCGAAAGCGUGGGGAGCGAACAGGAUUAGAUACCCCUGUAGUCCCUGUCUCUUAUAC